Long non-coding RNA from Gossypium arboreum, 340 nucleotides. RefSeq lists it as uncharacterized. NCBI's taxonomy places the organism in Eukaryota, Viridiplantae, Streptophyta, Magnoliopsida, Malvales, Malvaceae. The transcript has 2 exons. The record is from RefSeq and is a predicted model, not a curated record.
AGAUCAAGAGAAACAUGAUUCGGGUAUUGAUCGAGGUAAGAACAAAGUUUACGAGGAUUAAGCUCGUCUUCAUCAUUUUGUAUCGAGUGCCGCCAAGCUAGCAUUAGGGAUCCAGUGACAUCAAAAGCUUCGACCACACUAUCACUCAAGACCUUGGUAUAGCUAGUUUUAUUGUUUUGUUUUCUAGCAUGUAUAGGGACUCGAGUCUUUGUUUAGUGUUUUGUUAGUUAGCCAUAAUGUGUUGACUCAUAUGAUGAAUAUGAUACUCAUUUUGUAUAAGGCCAUGGAUGAUGGUCAAAAAUCAUUUUGAUUUAUAAAUAAAAGAUGAUAUUUUCAUGGA